RNAcentral lists this long non-coding RNA (531 nucleotides) under Fukomys damarensis (Damara mole-rat). RNAcentral's name for it is "lncRNA (ENSFDAG00000022918.1)". The record is from RNAcentral. Lineage: Eukaryota; Metazoa; Chordata; Mammalia; Rodentia; Bathyergidae.
UGGCGGGGAAGAUGCAUCUUAGGUGCGCAUCACAAUGCCUUCCCUGUGGCAAGGAGCACAGGGCAGCUGUCUGGUCAUGCACAGGCUGACGGUGCACAUGAACUCCAACUCCUGAGCGCUGUGUGCUGCAGCCUUCUCCGGUGGGGAAAAUCUUCCAUCGUACUAAAGUCUGGAGACAGGAUGAAGGGGAAGAGUAUGUCUGAGGUGAAGAGGACACAAAGCUGGAAUCAAGACAGGACAGAGGAAAAGUCUGCCCUGAACCCCCCACCCUAUCCGUGCCUUCCUCUGUGUUAACUCUGUGCUGCCCUGCCGGUCUCCUAAGGCGGACAUUGGAUUCCAUCUGAACUGCAAGAGCUGUUGGAGUGUAGUCUCCUUAUUCCUCACAAGUUAGGAAGUCCUUGGCCUCGGCUUUCACUAUACUGUGUGGCCGAGGCUGCAGGCUGAAGGUGGCUGUUCCCCAGCUCAUGCCAAGGACACUGAUCAAACAGUAAAAAUGAAAUAGGCCAGUGCAAAUUCACCCACCCACACUUG